CCCUUAGAUGUUCUGGGCCGCACGCGCGCUACACUGACUGAUGCAACAAGUGUCUGACCUUGGCUCGAGAGGCCUGGGCAACCUUUGAACGCCAGUCGUGCUGGGGAUAGAUUCUUGCAAUUAUUAAUCUUCAACGAGGAAUUCCUAGUAAACGCAAGUCAUCAGCUUGCAUUGAUUACGUCCCUGCCCUUUGUACACACCGCCCGUCGCUGCCUCCGAUUGAAUGAUCCUGUGAAUAAUUCGGACUGCGGCAUUGACCGGUUCCCGAUCGUUGCUGCGGAAAGUUUAGUGAACCUUAUCACUUAGAGGAAGGAGAAGUCGUAACA
Molecule: ribosomal RNA, 326 nt
Filed under: uncultured eukaryote
Lineage: Eukaryota
Description: partial 18S ribosomal RNA
Rfam family: Eukaryotic small subunit ribosomal RNA
Source: RNAcentral